RNAcentral lists this ribosomal RNA (274 nucleotides) under uncultured bacterium. RNAcentral's name for it is "partial 16S ribosomal RNA". It matches the Rfam family "Bacterial small subunit ribosomal RNA", at positions 523 to 796 of the family's 1533-position model. The record is from RNAcentral.
AUACGAAGGGGGCAAGCGUUGUUCGGAAUAACUGGGCGUAAAGCGCACGUAGGCGGAUUGAUAAGUUAGAGGUGAAAUCCCAGGGCUCAACCCUGGAACUGCCUUUAAUACUGUCAGUCUAGAGAUCGAGAGAGGUGAGUGGAAUUCCGAGUGUAGAGGUGAAAUUCGUAGAUAUUCGGAGGAACACCAGUGGCGAAGGCGGCUCACUGGCUCGAUACUGACGCUGAGGUGCGAAAGCGUGGGGAGCAAACAGGAUUAGAAACCCUAGUAGUCC